UACGGAAGGGGCAAGCGUUGUUCGGAAUCAUUGGGCGUAAAGAGCUCGUAGGCGGCUUAGUAAGUCGGGUGUGAAAACCCCAGGCUCAACCUGGGGACGCCACCCGAUACUGCUAUAGCUAGAGUCCAGUAGGGGAGUGUGGAAUUCCCAGUGUAGCGGUGAAAUGCGCAGAUAUUGGGAGGAACACCAGCGGCGAAGGCGGCACUCUGGGCUGGUACUGACGCUGAGGAGCGAAAGCGUGGGUAGCGAACAGG
This 254-nucleotide ribosomal RNA is filed under the name uncultured bacterium. Its description in RNAcentral is "partial 16S ribosomal RNA". It matches the Rfam family "Bacterial small subunit ribosomal RNA", at positions 524 to 776 of the family's 1533-position model. The record is from RNAcentral.